This 445-nucleotide unclassified non-coding RNA is filed under the name Hevea brasiliensis (rubber tree). Lineage: Eukaryota; Viridiplantae; Streptophyta; Magnoliopsida; Malpighiales; Euphorbiaceae. The record is from RNAcentral.
GAAAGAGCUAUGGAACUUGCUAGGAGAGAAGAAGAGGAGAGGAUGCGGUUGGCUAGGGAACAAGAAGAACGACAAAGAAGGUUGGAAGAAGAGAGACUGGAUGGAGCUGAACAAGAGAGACUGGAAUCCAUGCGGAGAGCUGAAGAACAAAGGAUAGCUAGAGAGGAAGAGAAACACAGAAUUCUUUUGGAGGACGAGAGGAGGAAGCAGGCUGCUAAGCAGAAGCUUUUGGAAUUGGAGGAAAGGAUUGCCAAGAGGCAUGCAGAAGAAGCAAAUAGUGUUAAUAUUAAUUCUUCUGGUGUUACAGAUGAGAAAAUGUCAGGGUUGGUAUCAGAAAAAGAUGUUUCCAAGGUGGCAGAUGUGGGUGAUUGGGAAGACAGUGAAAGGAUGGUAGAAAGGAUCACAACUUCAGCAUCUUCUGAUUCCUCAGUAAUGAAUAGACCAU